Long non-coding RNA from Triticum aestivum (bread wheat), 6790 nucleotides. RefSeq lists it as uncharacterized. The record is from RefSeq and is a predicted model, not a curated record. Lineage: Eukaryota; Viridiplantae; Streptophyta; Magnoliopsida; Poales; Poaceae. The transcript is spliced from 3 exons.
UCCUCGUCACCCCAAUUCCCCCCCCCCCCCCCGUGCCGCCUACUCGCCCUCAUCUCCUACCCGUCCGGCUCGUCGGAGCAGCGGCCGGCAGAGAGCUGCGGUGGUCCGCACUGCAGAAGCAGUAGCGGCCGAUGGCGGCGGAAACGAUGGCCGUCAUGGGCAGAGCAGCGCGGUGGCCGGGUGCCAUCUGGAGAGCCGGUGGCCGGUGGUGCGCGAUCUGGGCGAUUUGGAGGUGAGGCGACAACGUUGACUAGGACGUCGAUGGAAAUCUUCAUCGUGCCGCUCGGAGAGGAGCUCGUCCGCCUCGUCGACGAUCCCCUCUUCUCGACGGAUCCGCGAUGGAGGUGCUCAAGGAGGAGCUUCUUCUCUGGAUUCCAUGGAGAUCGUCAAGGGAUCCGCUGCACCUCCGUCCUCGCAGCGCCUGAGAUCACUGGCCCGAGCAAGGUGCCACCGAGCACUGCUCCUAGGUCCUCGCAGCUAAUACACAUACCCUCUACAAUUAGAUUGGUACAAUGAUCUCUGACUUGGAUACUUGUGCUACAUCUGAAUUUUGCAAGUAAUUGAAAAUUUGAUCUCUCCUGUUGUAAUGCGAACUAGAAAGGUGGGUAUCUUAAUUCAGAAUGUUAUUAGAAUCUUAUGGACUGCCAUUUACUUGCACAACAUAUGCAGUCAUUUUAUUUGAUCCUUCACUGUCAUAUCACGUCAGGCUGGGGGAAUUGUAACAGGAAAAAACCUAGGUUGUCUCUUCUGAUUGCAAUGAUUUUAGCCUAUGAUUUUCAUUUGAUUGAUGUUCUGAAGUAGCUUACUCAAGUCCAGGUUCUCCAAUGAUGUGCAGAACUCUUGCAGGCACCUUUGUAAUUGCAAAAAUUAAGACAAGCUAUGAAGGGACCUUUUCUUGAUCCCUUCAUAGCUUGUCUUAAUUUUUGUUACGAAUCUGUUCUCGCACUAAUAUCAUAUCAUGCUAAAUGUGAAACCCAGCUACAUGAACUAUAAUUUCUCAUAUCAAAAGAGUCCAGAAGGGAAGCUACCCAAUAUUAUGUUAGGAACUUUGUCAUGGUUCGUCCUCAGAAGCUUCUAUACAUCGCCAUUGGUAGUUGGUACGUAUUUUGGAUCUUUGUUAUGGAGGGACUCUCUCGCUGAUAUUUUCCAUUUGAUGUAAUUCAUAUGGUUAUAUACUCUGGUUUAGUGGUUGAAAUUAGGACUGCCAAAUAUACUUUAUCAUGCAGAACUUCUUGCCAUCAUACAACUAUGUAAUAUAUAUAUACGAUAAUAUGAUAGUUCGUCCUGAUGUUUAUACUCGCAUGAUGGUUUACUUUAGUAUUGUAAUUGAAGUUACUCAUCAGUGUCUUGGUUAUACUGAAGUUUGCCAUCUUUUUGAAAUAUAUGCAGUUGACUGUUGCAAGGACACGAACCAUAUUACAGUUGCAAAAGAGAAUUCACUUAAGAUAUUAUCAUCGGGUUUGAAAGAAAGAUGUUGCAUGGCCCUCUUGUUUCAAUUCUGUCCUGGUAGUGAUUCAGAGGGCACUGCCAUCAAAGGUAAUGAAUCUCCAUUUUGGUUUUUGGUAUUCUUCUCAGGUAUAUAAUAAAUUGUUCGGUUCCUCCAAUUUUCUUCUUAUUAUUUUUCUGAACACAGUCGCCCCUUCCCCAGUUCUGUAAGGAUAUGCGGUUUCUGUUGAUGGCCUCGUGGCUGAUUGCAUCUUGACGGAACACAAUUUCAUCAAUAAAUAUGUCCGUGUUGCUAGCCUGAGAAUUAGCUUGUUUGGUAGUUGACUCAUGAUAGUUCUUUUCCUUUUAAACUGAUUUUUGAUCAGUAGUUCAUAAACCAUGUACAAGAUUGAGAGAUUAAAUAAAGAGCUAGGCUGAGGUUUCACCGCUCAGCCUAUCAGUUUGUGUUUGGCUGAUAGAAACAAUAUUGUUUGGUUUAUACAAUGAUUACCUGACAAGUUCAUCUUCCUCUUUGCAAAUAUUACAUAAUAAGUAAUGGGACUGCUAUCUUUAAUUCUCUCAUGGCAAUCAGGCUAGGCACAUACAAGAGCGCACACGUCCGCCUUAGGAGUAAGAGGCGUGUGACAUGUGUUUUAGUUUCUAAUAGAAACACAAAAUAUGUCUAUUUUGCUCGUUAGAUAAUUAUUUUUAUUGUGUGCGCGUGUUGCACACUCAUGUCAUGACCGUGAAUGGAAGUGCACAAAGCAAAUGCAUUAUGACCCGAUGUUUUAAUUUAUAGCACCUAUUGGUCUGGUAAGAUAUACGUUGUUACAAAUACAGAAAUCCAACACAAUAAUGUGCGGGAUAAUAGCGCCUCCUUGCGCGUUCCACCUCAUCGUUUUUUACUGUGCUAGCGAGAGAGAGAAAAACUGAGAGGGUAAAAAGGGGUGGACGCUACCUAGCGGGGACGCAAUUGGGCGAGAGGAGGAGGAGGAGGCACUUCUCCUGCUAGAUCCAUGGCCAUCACGUCGCUAUCGACAUCCACCCUCCUCAACAGAUCGAUCGAUCGGACGUCGCCAUGAUGUCUCUCUUUGUUGUGGAUUCAUGCGUGUUUUUUGUUCAAUCCAACCCUUACUGCAGGGCCUAGCGAAGGGAAUGAAGAGGCACACCCUCAGCCACGACUCUGUCCUUCAGCUACAAAAGCUAGAUAGAUUGUAAUCAGUUGCGUGAUUGAAACAACAUUUAGGUCAUCACAAAGGGCUCAAAAUGUUAUUAAGCCAAAACAUUGAUUUUGUGUUAUUACAAUGUUAUGUAUUAGUGAUGUGAUGUGAUUCGCCAUGUCCAACUCAUCCAUUUGGAUCUAAGUUCAAUUGGCUAAAAAAGAAGCUAGAUUUGGUACAAGUCUUUUUUGGGAGAUAUGCCCAUGAUAAUCGUAGUAAUCUUAGUUCUUGGCCUUUCAUUUGGAAAAAAGCUAGAUCUAUUCAUGAUAAUCGUAGUUCUUACCUUUCAUUAUUUAUCUUUAGGUAUGCAAAGAAGUUGGCUUUGGUACAAGUCUUUUUUGGUAGAUUAGUUACAUUGAAAUUCGAUAAAUAUUUGCUGAAUAUCCAGUAUCACAAGAAUCCUUGUAUUAGCUUGUUUCCAAAUGCUUAGUUUUAUGAGAGGAGGAUUUUAGAUGUUUCAAAUGUCCUGCCUCCUAGCUAUAACAAGGAUUAUACAUGCCUCUUGUUUGGCAGCUACACUCUUAUAAAUGACAGGAUGGAAGGGAAGACAAGGAGGGCACAAGAAACAGUCGACGAAACAUGGUUGAAGUUGUUGUUCUGCACCUCAUCCAAACCAUCUUUAGAUGUAUGUCUUGAGCUGAACCCUCACUUUUCUUGCAACCUUGGUAUAUCAUGCCUCGAUGUCCUUGGUAGUUAUUAAUUUGUUUCUAUAUUAAGUGACUUCGCUGAUAUAACAUGGCAUCUUUAGAAGCUUAUAGGGUCUUCCUUUCAUGUAUUACAUGUCGCAUAACCUUCAUUGAUAGAAAGGUGAUCACGCAAUACUUUGUGUUAAACAAUCCAGUUGUUACCUGUGUAUAUCUUGUGUUUUGUUAACUCCAUCAAUCUGGGUUUAUGAAAAUCCAGUUCCCUGCGUAUAUUUGUCAGCAAGUCCACUGUCAUCUAUUUCCUUAUUUAAUACCCCCUCCGUUCCAAAAUAGAUGACCCAACUUUGUAUUAACUUUGUACUAAAGUUAGUACAAAGUUGAGUCAUCUAUUUUGGAACGGAGGGAGUAGAUAAUGUUACAUAUUUUUUUGCAAAACUGAGAACAUUAAGUAGAUGACAUGAAAGAUGAAACAUAGCUCUAUGAGAGUUGUUGGCCACUACAUGUACUCCCUUUUUGGUAGUAUUUUCUUUUACCUUCAGAGCUGAAAAGUGAUGUUGUGUCAGUUGUAAGCUGAUACAGAAUCAACUUCAGUUUGCUAAAGAAAAUUCUCCUUCUCUUUUUGUUUAAUGCCGAUCUUUAUAAAGCACAUGUGAUGAUGUUUAAUCAGUUUGACUUUGACCAUACUUUCAUGUGCUCCCUCUAGGUGUUCUUUUCUUUUCCUCCUUAUCAUUUUGUUAGUAGUUUAGGUUGUAGUUUUUUCCUGUUUUUGACAGUACCUUGGGUGGCUGCCAAAUUUGCACAAUUUUGUAGCAUUUUUGAACCCAUGCUUGAGAAUUUUUUUUAAGUUGGUUCGGAUAUGCGCAUUUAGUGUACUGUAAUGCAAACCACAUGUAUGCAUAUUAGUCUGAUAUGACUCAUGCUUGUUGUCCAAGGAGUACUGAGUUUAUUGCAUAUACAUUUUCUUUAUAACAUGUGGCUUUUUGUGUGGUCAUGAACAAAUGUGUGUCUACUUCUUGGAGUCAUCCAUGUGGUUCACUUGUCUCUGUUACGUUGUUUGUAAUUAUGAUUUGCAAGGGCAUGUGCUAUUUUGCCUCAUGCGUCUCUCUCGCGUCCCUCUCGUCGUCGGCUUUGUGCCUCACGAUUCCUGAUUAGAGAAGAUUGGGAGAAUGUAAUUAUGUCAGUUCAAUUGGAGAUCAGGCUGAUGGUGAUUACUGUUUAGGACAGAAUGUCAUUAUCUCAGUACAAUUAGAGAACAGGUGGAUUGUGCAUGAACCGAUUAGUUGUGGAGUUUUAGGAAACAAAAGAGAUGUCUUUUUGUGCCUGAUUGUGAGUUUUUUUGGUAUGAAAAACAUGUACGAUGAACUUCUUUACUGAAAUAAUAGUUACUUGUUUCUUUUCUAUGUCUAGAAAUGCUCUUACUAUGCACUAGAAGCGCGCAUCGAGAAUGCGCAGAUCUACUCGAUGCACACUUCUGAUGGAUCAGUGCCUUCACCUCUUAUAGUUUGUUCACCACAUGAUAUGCCAAACACAAUUUUUUAUGGAAUCUGGAUGGUGUUGCGCCUCGGCUUUGCGAGGAACAAGGCGGUGCGCUCAUGUUGUCUCCUUGGGCUUGUUAAUCUUGCAAUGAGGCGCAGACCGAUGGGCACUACAGCAGUAUAAUAGAAGACAAAGGUCCUGAUAGAGUAUAAGUAGUUCAUUAAUUGAAUAUAUUCAGAGGUGAUAUGCCUUGCAUUAUGUUUGGCGCAUGCAUGUGUGGAACACUGUAUGUCCAGUUACUGAUGAUAAAAAACCAAGGUAAUUGUAACUAAGCUAGAUGAACUUACUGGCAAAGUAUAUCACCUGAAAGGAUGGCAACCACAAACCUGAUUUCUAUGCUAAGCAAGCUUUAUCAAACCCUUGAAUGUAAUGUAUGAGAUCUGUCUGGCAUAUAAACAAUGCAUUUGCUGCAAUAAAAGAAAUCUCUUAAAUCUUCUUGAAGGAUGUAAGAAGAACCUAAAAUAUCAGUCUUUGUGUUGUAUCCAAGUCAUUGGAUUGGAAAUGGUUAGAAAACUAUCAGAUGAUUUUAAUUGUACACUAUCCAAUAGACGUAACAAGACUAGGUACUUAGGUUGGUCAAUAUAACUCAUUCUGUCAUUCUAUCGACUAUAACUAUUAAUUAUGAUUCAUUUCAAUCAUGUUUAUACACAGGAAGCUUGUGCUGAUAAAAGUCCUAUGUCAGCUGAUGGAGCACGUGCAGGUUCAAGUUUGUUUAAGAUCAUUGUGGAGUCAUAUUUGAAGGGUACAAACCUUUUCAUUUGAAGUUGCCCUACCCUCGAAGACAUUGAUAAUUAUGCUUAUAGAGUGUUUCAUCCGUUGUUCUCAUGUUGUGCUACAUACUGACUGCGCUUCUUUUCUUUUACAUAGUUGCUAUUGAUUCUGCAUUUGAGGAUAAUGAUGAUGCUGAAAACUUUCGUGUUUCUGUUUCAAGUAUGUUGAAAUUUUUAAUAAAUAUUUCCUAUUCAGAGCACCCUCCACUUCGUGGCUCCUUCAUUUAUACUAAUGAAGUACUUCUUGGUGCACAAUGUGAUGAGCAAUUGGCCUUGUAUGCUCUGAUUGCACACGUAGCUGCUGACACCGCCAUACCCUUGAGCAAUUGUUUUCUGAGCGAUUUGCAUGGCUAAGUCAGGUCUCCUUCUUAGCUUCAUCUUGUGAAUUAUCUUGGUUCAAAAUCACCUAUGUGUCCCUGCUAUAAUAGCCUUCAUUCCAUGAUAAUGAUCCCACUCAUACAUUGGAGAAGAUGUAUUGGCUGUUUUCUUAGCUAAAAACAGUGAGAGAAUCUCUCACUAUGGCAUUUCAAUUAAAUAAAUUAAUGUCUGUACAUCAAGAUUACCAGCCAUGUCCUAAUUUAUUCAGGCGAAGGAGAAACACUGCUUGUAGAUAAUUCAAAGCUUCCUUCUUUGUACUUAUGUUUUCAAUUUUUUGAUAAACUAUUUGCAGUUCCAUCUACUUCGCAUAGUUUCUGCAAUUCUCAAAUUCGACUUGUGUUAUAGGCUUUAGUCCUUAUAACAUAUGGUACUCGAUUGAUCAUCGUGUAUAUUGUGUAAACAUAAAAUGAUGCACUGAAUGCAGUAUGCUCUUUCCAAUUGUUAUUGUGUUUUUCCCUAUCCGCUAAGAUAAAAAUCACACCUCUCAAAGUUUUAACAUUUAGUUAUUUUUGUCACAGAUUUCUGAGGCUUUACAGUAUGGAUUCACCAAUGCAGUUGAAGUAGCUCAACAUCCUGUAGUUACAUUUUUCAUGGUAGUAAUGUUUGCCUAAUGGUGGCUUAAUAGAGCUAGAUGUUUGCUAGAAUACAUUACACGCCUCAUUUUAUACCUGUUAAUGUAUGUGUCAUCGCAUGUUCAUAGAAAUGUAGUGUGCUAAUGAGUUUAGUUUGUAAGCUAUCCUAUUGUACAUGUCAUGGAGCUGACAAAAACGACUGCCAGAUGAGUGUGUCCUACCCUGGCCUGAGCAAUACAUAGUAC